This 301-nucleotide ribosomal RNA is filed under the name Triparma pacifica. RNAcentral's name for it is "partial Bacterial large subunit ribosomal RNA". It matches the Rfam family "Bacterial large subunit ribosomal RNA", at positions 2614 to 2912 of the family's 2925-position model. Lineage: Eukaryota; Bolidophyceae; Parmales; Triparmaceae. The record is from RNAcentral.
GAACGUCGUGAGACAGUUCGGUCCAUAUCCGGUGUAGGCGUUAGAAUAUUGAGAGGAGCCUUCUUUAGUACGAGAGGACCGAGAAGGACACACCGCUGGUGUACCAGUUAUCAUGCCAAUGGUAAACGCUGGGUAGCUAAGUGUGGAGUGGAUAACCGCUGAAAGCAUCUAAGUGGGAAGCCCACCUCGAGAUGAGUAUUCUCAUCACGUUAAGUGAGUAAGGUCACGGCGAGACUAGCCGUUUAAUAGGCAUCAAGUGUAAGUACAGUAAUGUAUGUGCUGAGAUGUCCUAACAGACCGA